This 1207-nucleotide ribosomal RNA is filed under the name metagenome. RNAcentral describes it as "bacterial SSU rRNA". It matches the Rfam family "Archaeal small subunit ribosomal RNA", at positions 237 to 1445 of the family's 1478-position model. The record is from RNAcentral.
GGGUGUAGCGUACCUACUAGCCUACGACGGGUACGGGUUGUGAGAGCAAGAGCCCGGAGAUGGAUUCUGAGACACGAAUCCAGGCCCUACGGGGUGCAGCAGGCGCGAAAACUUUACAAUGCUGGAAACAGCGAUAAGGGAACCUCGAGUGCCAGGUUACAAAUCUGGCUGUCGUGAUGCCUAAAAAGCAUUGCAUAGCAAGGGCCGGGCAAGACCGGUGCCAGCCGCCGCGGUAACACCGGCGGCUCGAGUGGUAACCGUUAUUAUUGGGUCUAAAGGGUCUGUAGCCGGCCGGAUAAGUCUCUUGGGAAAUCCAGCAGCUUAACUGUUGGGCUUUCAGGAGAUACUGUCUGGCUCGAGGCCGGGAGAGGUGAGAGGUACUUCAGGGGUAGGGGUGAAAUCUUGUAAUCCUCGAAGGACCACCAGUGGCGAAGGCGUCUCACCAGAACGGACCUGACGGCAAGGGACGAAAGCUAGGGGCACGAACCGGAUUAGAUACCCGGGUAGUCCUAGCCGUAAACGAUACUCGCUAGGUGUCGGCCACGGUGCGACCGUGGUCGGUGCCGUAGGGAAGCCGUGAAGCGAGCCACCUGGGAAGUACGGCCGCAAGGCUGAAACUUAAAGGAAUUGGCGGGGGAGCACCACAACGGGUGGAGCUUGCGGUUUAAUUGGAUUCAACGCCGGAAAUCUUACCGGGACCGACAGCAAUAUGAAGGCCAGGCUGAAGACUUUGCCGGAUUAGCUGAGAGGUGGUGCAUGGCCGUCGUCAGUUCGUACUGUGAAGCAUCCUGUUAAGUCAGGCAACGAGCGAGACCCACGCCCACAGUUGCCAGCGUACUCUCCGGAGUGACGGGUACACUGUGGGGACCGCCGCUGCUAAAGCGGAGGAAGGAAUGGGCAACGGUAGGUCAGUAUGCCCCGAAUAUCCCGGGCUACACGCGAGCUACAAUGGUUGGUACAAUGGGUAUCUACCCCGAAAGGGGAUGGGAGUCUCCUAAAACCAAUCUUAGUCCGGAUUGAGGGCUGCAACUCGCCCUCAUGAAGCUGGAAUCCGUAGUAAUCGCGUUUCAACAGAACGCGGUGAAUACGUCCCUGCUCCUUGCACACACCGCCCGUCAAACCACCCGAGUAGGGUCUGAAUGAGAGCGCUUCCUCUGGAGGCGUUCGAAUUUGGGCUUUGCAAGGGGGGUUAAGUCGUAACAAGGUA